Long non-coding RNA from Capsicum annuum, 618 nucleotides. RefSeq lists it as uncharacterized. The record is from RefSeq and is a predicted model, not a curated record. Lineage: Eukaryota; Viridiplantae; Streptophyta; Magnoliopsida; Solanales; Solanaceae. The transcript has 3 exons.
UUCUGCUAUGUAUUAAACUGUAGGCCACUCUUAGAUUGUCAUAGCUGGACAGUUCUGAACGCUUGUCACGUCAUGUUAUGGAGCAUCACGAAGUAAUGGAGAGAUACUAUUCAAGCUGCCACUGGCUUUGCCCAAAGGAAUAAGUACUGGUGCGCCUUAAAGAACAGAUUCUGGCUCACCUAUGUUUGAGGUUCAGAAUAGAUUCAAAAGGUUUUUGAGAAGAAGGCAAAGUAUUUUCCUAUAAGAGAGGAUAUUAUUUUUGCAAAAUGAAGCACCUACAGAUCUGUACAUUAAUGAUAACUGAAGCAGUAGUAAGAAGCUCUUUCUUGCUCUCCCACUCUCUUGUAUCUGCGAAAGGAGUGGAAAGUAAAGGAAAUGUAGGAGACGGGAAAGUUCAGCUCUUAUUGUGUAACAAUUUUCAGCACCUGUGCGAGAUAUAAAACUAGAAGGUUUAAUCAUCUGAAUGAAAAUGGCAAUUCCAUAGACUUUUGGAGGGACAUAUUUACUUUUUAGAUUUUAAAUUUGUGCAAAAAUUACAACUAAGGUGAUUGUAUAAACUUCAAAUGCUAUACCUUAGUGAUGUUUACAUAAACUGCUCAUAGGUUAUUCAUUGUACUU